This 375-nucleotide RNase P RNA is filed under the name Halovulum marinum. RNAcentral's name for it is "Bacterial RNase P class A". It matches the Rfam family "Bacterial RNase P class A". From Rfam's summary of the family: Ribonuclease P (RNase P) is a ubiquitous endoribonuclease, found in archaea, bacteria and eukarya as well as chloroplasts and mitochondria. Its best characterised activity is the generation of mature 5'-ends of tRNAs by cleaving the 5'-leader elements of precursor-tRNAs. Cellular RNase Ps are ribonucleoproteins. Lineage: Bacteria; Pseudomonadati; Pseudomonadota; Alphaproteobacteria; Rhodobacterales; Paracoccaceae. The record is from Rfam by way of RNAcentral.
GCGGAUGGCCGGAUGGCCGCGGGCUUCGUGCCCGAGGAAAGUCCGGACUCCACGGAGGAACGGCGCCGGGUAACGCCCGGCCGGCGCAAGCCGAGGGACAGCGCCACAGAGAACAGUCCGCCCCGGCCUGUCCGGGGCAAGGGUGAAACGGUGGGGUAAGAGCCCACCGCGGGCCUGGCAACAGGUCCGGCACGGCAAGCCCCGCCGGGAGCAAGGCCAAAUAGGGAUCGCGUGCGGCGCAAGCCGCAGGGGCGCCUCCGCCCCGAGCAGGUCCGGGUUGGCUGCCCGAGCCGGUCCGCAAGGGCCGGCCCAGACGAAUGGCCAUCGGGACGCGCAAGCGUCUUACAGAAUCCGGCUUACAGGCCAUCCGCAUCC